CAAAGGUUUGGUCCCAGCCUUCCUAUUGACCUUUAAUAGACUUACACAUGCAAGCAUCCGCAUCCCAGUGAAAAUGCCCUCCAAGUUAAUAAGACUAAGAGGAUCUGGUAUCAAGCACACACCCGUAGCUCAUGACACCUUGCUUAGCCACACCCCCACGGGAGACAGCAGUGAUAAAAAUUAAGCCAUGAACGAAAGUUUGACUAAGCCAUAUUAAUUAGGGUUGGUAAAUUUCGUGCCAGCCACCGCGGUCAUACGAUUAACCCAAGUUAAUAGGCAUACGGCGUAAAGCGUGUUAAAGCAACAUAUAAAAAUAGAGUUAAACUUUAAUUAAGCUGUAAAAAGCCAUAAUUAUUAACGAAAAUAAAUAACGAAAGUAACUUUACAAUCGCUGAAACAUGAUAGCUAAGACCCA
This 415-nucleotide ribosomal RNA is filed under the name Hydropotes inermis (Chinese water deer). RNAcentral describes it as "12S ribosomal RNA". Lineage: Eukaryota; Metazoa; Chordata; Mammalia; Artiodactyla; Cervidae. The record is from RNAcentral.